GCAGCCGCGGUAAUACGUAGGGGGCGAGCGUUGUCCGGAAUUACUGGGCGUAAAGGGUGCGUAGGUGGCACUUUAAGUUGGAUGUGAAAUCCCCGUGCUUAACAUGGGAGCUGCAUCCAAUACUGGAGAGCUAGAGUGCAGGAGAGGUAAGCGGAAUUCCUAGUGUAGCGGUGAAAUGCGUAGAUAUUAGGAGGAACACCAGUGGCGAAGGCGGCUUACUGGACUGUAACUGACACUGAGGCACGAAAGCGUGGGGAGCAAACAGGAUUAGAUACCCC
RNAcentral lists this ribosomal RNA (278 nucleotides) under uncultured bacterium. RNAcentral describes it as "partial 16S ribosomal RNA". It matches the Rfam family "Bacterial small subunit ribosomal RNA", at positions 511 to 788 of the family's 1533-position model. The record is from RNAcentral.